Molecule: long non-coding RNA, 383 nt
Organism: Onychostruthus taczanowskii (white-rumped snowfinch)
Lineage: Eukaryota; Metazoa; Chordata; Aves; Passeriformes; Passeridae
Exons: 3
Source: RefSeq, a predicted model, not a curated record
AGGGCGAUGUGGCGGGGGAGGGACAAGCCCGGCCCCGCCGCCGCCGCGGGAGGAGGGUAACGCACGGACUCUCCCUCGCUCCCUGCCGGCGGCAGGAUCCCAAUCCCGAGGAGGCAGCACCCCUGGCCGCUGCACCGAGCAGGAGUCCGGCUACUUUUCCUGCUUCACAGGCCAGAAAAGAAGGAAGGUCCUGCCCCUUAUUUGUGCGGCUUUCUCCAGAGCAAAUUCUGAAGCUGCUCCCAAAAUGAAUAGGCACUCACAGAACUGAUAGUCAAGGCCUAUUGAUUUUUGCUCCAGACUCUCAUUUCCACAUUCUCUUUCUACAAAGCCUUAGAUCCAGGCUUAGUUACUGCUGUGUAAUCUCUGAAAAAUAUGUGUUUCAU